Molecule: ribosomal RNA, 253 nt
Filed under: uncultured bacterium
Lineage: Bacteria
Description: partial 16S ribosomal RNA
Rfam family: Bacterial small subunit ribosomal RNA
Source: RNAcentral
GACAGAGGGUGCAACCGUUGUUCGGAAUUACUGGGCGUAAAGCGUGCGCAGGCGGUAAUGUAAGACAGAUGUGAAAGCCCCGGGCUUAACCUGGGACCUGCAUUUGUGACUGCAUUGCUAGAGUACGGUAGAGGGGGAUGGAAUUCCGCGUGUAGCAGUGAAAUGCGUAGAUAUGCGGAGGAACACCGAUGGCGAAGGCAAUCCCCUGGACCUGUACUGACGCUCAUGCACGAAAGCGUGGGGAGCAAACAGG